AUUCCUUGUCGGGUAAGUUCCGACCCGCACGAAAGGCGUAACGAUUUGGGCACUGUCUCAACGAGAGACUCGGUGAAAUCAUAGUACCUGUGAAGAUGCAGGUUACCCGCGACAGGACGGAAAGACCCCGUGGAGCUUUACUGUAGCCUGAUAUUGAAAUUCGGCACAGCUUGUACAGGAUAGGUAGGAGCCUUUGAAACGUGAGCGCUAGCUUACGUGGAGGCGUUGGUGGGAUACUACCCUAGCUGUGUUGGCUUUCUAACCCGCACCACUUAUCGUGGUGGGAGACAGUGUCAGGCGGGCAGUUUGACUGGGGCGGUCGCCUCCUAAAAGGUAACGGAGGCGCUCAAAGGUUCCCUCAGAAUGGUUGGAAAUCAUUCAUAGAGUGUAAAGGCAUAAGGGAGCUUGACUGCGAGACCUACAAGUCGAGCAGGGUCGAAAGACGGACUUAGUGAUCCGGUGGUUCCGCAUGGAAGGGCCAUCGCUCAACGGAUAAAAGCUACCCCGGGGAUAACAGGCUUAUCUCCCCCAAGAGUUCACAUCGA
Molecule: ribosomal RNA, 545 nt
Filed under: Enterococcus faecalis
Lineage: Bacteria; Bacillati; Bacillota; Bacilli; Lactobacillales; Enterococcaceae
Description: partial 23S ribosomal RNA
Rfam family: Bacterial large subunit ribosomal RNA
Source: RNAcentral